This 619-nucleotide long non-coding RNA is filed under the name Ictidomys tridecemlineatus (thirteen-lined ground squirrel). Its description in RNAcentral is "lncRNA (ENSSTOG00000030095.1)". The record is from RNAcentral. Lineage: Eukaryota; Metazoa; Chordata; Mammalia; Rodentia; Sciuridae.
GAUUAGGAGCUCUUGGAGAAAAGUGAAGAGGACUUAGUUUUCCUGUCACUCUGACCCUCCACAUCCAAUGGUGUCACUUCUGCAGAUGCCAACAGGCAGUCUGGGACACAGCUCAAGUCUUCACUCCCAAGCUCCAGGACCCGAGAUCACAGCAGACUGGGGUGCCGCCAACGUGCCUUCAGAGUGACACUGACCCGGAGAAGGAGACCAGAGGGCUGGGAGUCGGAAGUCCUGGCCACCACACUCCUCCCUGCCUCCCUGGGACAGAGUGGCCUCAGCACCUCCCAGCCAGGGGGCAAUGGUUCUUCCAGCCUGCUGGUCCCUGGACACAGGAGUCUCAAGUACCUAGGUGGCCUUCGUAGGCCAUAGUGCACUGGUACCCCUGCUGUGUCCUGUUGCAAGAGUCCAGAGUGAGGCUGACUUGCUUCUAGCCCUUUGUUUGGGACCCAUCCUUCCUCCCAUCAAUGGCAUGGCCUCGCAGCAAGGUCCCUAUAGAAGGUAGCACUGCUCCCUGAAGCCAGGACCUCACCUGCACAGCAUGCCUGCUACAGCUCUGCCUCAGCCACCUCCACUGUCCACACUACCCACGCCUUGUCCAUGGCUUCUGGGGGGUGGCCUU